UACGGGGGGGGCAAGCGUUGUUCGGAAUUACUGGGCGUAAAGCGCACGUAGGCGGAUAUUUAAGUCAGGGGUGAAAUCCCAGAGCUCAACUCUGGAACUGCCUUUGAUACUGGGUAUCUGGAGUAUGGAAGAGGUGAGUGGAAUUCCGAGUGUAGAGGUGAAAUUCGUAGAUAUUCGGAGGAACACCAGUGGCGAAGGCGGCUCACUGGUCCAUUACUGACGCUGAGGUGCGAAAGCGUGGGGAGCAAACAGG
Molecule: ribosomal RNA, 253 nt
Filed under: uncultured bacterium
Lineage: Bacteria
Description: partial 16S ribosomal RNA
Rfam family: Bacterial small subunit ribosomal RNA
Source: RNAcentral